CAGUAGCCGCGGUAAAACGGAGGGGGCUAGCGUUGUUCGGAAUUACUGGGCGUAAAGCGCACGUAGGCGGCUUUGUAAGUCAGAGGUGAAAGCCCGGGGCUCAACCCCGGAAUUGCCUUUGAGACUGCAUCGCUUGAAUCCAGGAGAGGUGAGUGGAAUUCCGAGUGUAGAGGUGAAAUUCGUAGAUAUUCGGAAGAACACCAGUGGCGAAGGCGGCUCACUGGACUGGUAUUGACGCUGAGGUGCGAAAGCGUGGGGAGCAAACAGGAUUAGAUACCCCCGUAGUCCCUGUCUCUUAUAC
This 301-nucleotide ribosomal RNA is filed under the name uncultured bacterium. Its description in RNAcentral is "partial 16S ribosomal RNA". It matches the Rfam family "Bacterial small subunit ribosomal RNA", at positions 509 to 807 of the family's 1533-position model. The record is from RNAcentral.